Molecule: ribosomal RNA, 660 nt
Filed under: Microbacterium sp. JSM 082020
Lineage: Bacteria; Bacillati; Actinomycetota; Actinomycetes; Micrococcales; Microbacteriaceae
Description: bacterial SSU rRNA
Rfam family: Bacterial small subunit ribosomal RNA
Source: RNAcentral
GCAGGAGCUUGCUCUUGUGGAUCAGUGGCGAACGGGUGAGUAACACGUGAGCAACCUGCCCCUGACUCUGGGAUAAGCGCUGGAAACGGCGUCUAAUACUGGAUAUGUGACGUGACCGCAUGGUCUGCGUUUGGAAAGAUUUUUCGGUUGGGGAUGGGCUCGCGGCCUAUCAGCUUGUUGGUGAGGUAAUGGCUCACCAAGGCGUCGACGGGUAGCCGGCCUGAGAGGGUGACCGGCCACACUGGGACUGAGACACGGCCCAGACUCCUACGGGAGGCAGCAGUGGGGAAUAUUGCACAAUGGGCGAAAGCCUGAUGCAGCAACGCCGCGUGAGGGAUGACGGCCUUCGGGUUGUAAACCUCUUUUAGCAGGGAAGAAGCGAAAGUGACGGUACCUGCAGAAAAAGCGCCGGCUAACUACGUGCCAGCAGCCGCGGUAAUACGUAGGGCGCAAGCGUUAUCCGGAAUUAUUGGGCGUAAAGAGCUCGUAGGCGGUUUGUCGCGUCUGCUGUGAAAUCCCGAGGCUCAACCUCGGGCCUGCAGUGGGUACGGGCAGACUAGAGUGCGGUAGGGGAGAUUGGAAUUCCUGGUGUAGCGGUGGAAUGCGCAGAUAUCAGGAGGAACACCGAUGGCGAAGGCAGAUCUCUGGGCCGUAACUGAC